GAUGAACGCUGGCGGCGUGCCUAAUACAUGCAAGUCGAGCGAACAAACGAGGAGCUUGCUCCUCUGACGUUAGCGGCGGACGGGUGAGUAACACGUGGAUAACCUACCUAUAAGACUGGGAUAACUUCGGGAAACCGGAGCUAAUACCGGAUAAUAUAUUGAACCGCAUGGUUCAAUAGUGAAAGACGGCUUUGCUGUCACUUAUAGAUGGAUCCGCGCCGGAUUAGCUAGUUGGUAAGGUAACGGCUUACCAAGGCAACGAUGCGUAGCCGACCUGAGAGGGUGAUCGGCCACACUGGAACUGAGACACGGUCCAGACUCCUACGGGAGGCAGCAGUAGGGAAUAUUCCGCAAUGGGCGAAAGCCUGACGGAGCAACACCGCGUGAGUGAUGAAGGUCUUCGGAUCGUAAAGCUCUGUUAUUAGGGAAGAAAAAAUGUGUAAGUAACUAUGCACGUCUUGACGGUACCUAAUCAGAAAGCCACGGCUAACUACGUG
Molecule: ribosomal RNA, 497 nt
Filed under: uncultured bacterium
Lineage: Bacteria
Description: partial 16S ribosomal RNA
Rfam family: Bacterial small subunit ribosomal RNA
Source: RNAcentral